AAUGGGGGAAACCUGAUGCAGCGACGCCGCGUGGAGGAAGAAGGUUUUCGGAUUGUAAACUCCUGUCGUUAGGGACGAUAAUGACGGUACCUAACAAGAAAGCACCGGCUAACUACGUGCCAGCAGCCGCGGUAAAACGUAGGGUGCAAGCGUUGUCCGGAAUUACUGGGUGUAAAGGGAGCGCAGGCGGACCGGCAAGUUGGAAGUGAAAACUAUGGGCUCAACCCAUAAAUUGCUUUCAAAACUGCUGGCCUUGAGUAGUGCAGAGGUAGGUGGAAUUCCCGGUGUAGCGGUGGAAUGCGUAGAUAUCGGGAGGAACACCAGUGGCGAAGGCGACCUACUGGGCACCAACUGACGCUGAGGCUCGAAAGCAUGGGUAGCAAACAGGAUUAGAUACCCUGGUAGUCCAUGCCGUAAACGAUGAUUACUAGGUGUUGGAGGAUUGACCCCUUCAGUGCCGCAGUUAACACAAUAAGUAAUCCACCUGGGGAGUACGACCGCAAGGUUGAAACUCAAAGGAAUUGACGGGGGCCCGCACAAGCAGUGGAGUAUGUGGUUUAAUUCGAAGCAACGCGAAGAACCUUACCAGGUCUUGACAUCCGAUGCAUAGCGCAGAGAUGCGUGAAGUCCUUCGGGACAUCGAGACAGGUGGUGCAUGGUUGUCGUCAGCUCGUGUCGUGAGAUGUUGGGUUAAGUCCCGCAACGAGCGCAACCCUUAUUGCCAGUUACUACGCAAGAGGACUCUGGCGAGACUGCCGUUGACAAAACGGAGGAAGGUGGGGAUGACGUCAAAUCAUCAUGCCCUUUAUGACCUGGGCUACACACGUACUACAAUGGCGUUUAACAAAGAGAAGCAAGACCGCGAGGUGGAGCAAAACUCAAAAACAACGUCUCAGUUCAGAUUGCAGGCUGCAACUCGCCUGCAUGAAGUCGGAAUGCUAGUAAU
Molecule: ribosomal RNA, 946 nt
Filed under: uncultured bacterium
Lineage: Bacteria
Description: bacterial SSU rRNA
Rfam family: Bacterial small subunit ribosomal RNA
Source: RNAcentral